AGGCUUAACACAUGCAAGUCGAGCGCCCCGCAAGGGGAGCGGCAGACGGGUGAGUAACGCGUGGGAACGUACCCUUUACUACGGAAUAACGCAGGGAAACUUGUGCUAAUACCGUAUGUGCCCUUCGGGGGAAAGAUUUAUCGGUAAAGGAUCGGCCCGCGUUGGAUUAGCUAGUUGGUGGGGUAAAGGCCUACCAAGGCGACGAUCCAUAGCUGGUCUGAGAGGAUGAUCAGCCACAUUGGGACUGAGACACGGCCCAAACUCCUACGGGAGGCAGCAGUGGGGAAUAUUGGACAAUGGGCGCAAGCCUGAUCCAGCCAUGCCGCGUGAGUGAUGAAGGCCCUAGGGUUGUAAAGCUCUUUCACCGGAGAAGAUAAUGACGGUAUCCGGAGAAGAAGCCCCGGCUAACUUCGUGCCAGCAGCCGCGGUAAUACGAAAGGGGGCUAGCGUUGUUCGGAAUUACUGGGCGUAAAGCGCACGU
This 481-nucleotide ribosomal RNA is filed under the name Rhizobium etli. RNAcentral describes it as "bacterial SSU rRNA". It matches the Rfam family "Bacterial small subunit ribosomal RNA", at positions 44 to 572 of the family's 1533-position model. The record is from RNAcentral. Lineage: Bacteria; Pseudomonadati; Pseudomonadota; Alphaproteobacteria; Hyphomicrobiales; Rhizobiaceae.